This 495-nucleotide ribosomal RNA is filed under the name uncultured bacterium. RNAcentral's name for it is "partial 16S ribosomal RNA". It matches the Rfam family "Bacterial small subunit ribosomal RNA", at positions 28 to 507 of the family's 1533-position model. The record is from RNAcentral.
GACGAACGCUGGCGGCGUGCCUAAUACAUGCCAGUAGAACGCUGAAGGAGGAGCUUGCUUCUCUGGAUGAGUUGCGAACGGGUGAGUAACGCGUAGGUAACCUGCCUGGUAGCGGGGGAUAACUAUUGGAAACGAUAGCUAAUACCGCAUAAUAGCAGUUGUUGCAUGACAACUGUUUGAAAGGUGCAAUUGAACCACUACCAGAUGGACCUGCGUUGUAUUAGCUAGUUGGUGGGGUAACGGCUCACCAAGGCGACGAUACAUAGCCGACCUGAGAGGGUGAUCGGCCACACUGGGACUGAGACACGGCCCAGACUCCUACGGGAGGCAGCAGUAGGGAAUCUUCGGCAAUGGACGGAAGUCUGACCGAGCAACGCCGCGUGAGGGAAGAAGGUUUUCGGAUCGUAAAGCUCUGUUGUAAGAGAAGAACGAGUGUGAGAGUGGAAAGUUCACACUGUGACGGUAUCUUACCAGAAAGGGACGGCUAACUACGUG